AAUGAUGGUUAUAAUAAUGAUUAUAAUAAAAUGAAAAAAAAUGUAAGGAAAUACUGUUUAGACCCAUAUGAACAAGAACGUGAAUCUAAUUUUUUACAAAUUAUAAACUAUAUCGAAAAGAAUUUGAAAGAAAAGUGUACUUGGUACAUGUAUGAUUAUGUUAUAUUUAUGUUAGAAUACCAUGGUAUUUUUAUUAAUAACUUCGACUUUUUGUAUAAAAUAUCAUUUGUACAUAUGUCAGACAACGAUUAUUGUAAUUUGCAGAGGAUUAAAAAUGGAAAAAAAAAAAAAAAAAAAAAAAAAAAAUGUUUAAAAAGAAAAAAAAGCAGUCAAAUAUAUAUCCCCUUAUAUGUACGAAACAUAUGUAAUAAAAAAAUAAUGAAUAAUAGUUUAAAUUAUAAACAAAGGGUUUAUUACAAUAUGAUGAUAAAAUUAAGCAGAAAUUUUUUAUGCUUUAAUUAUUUAUCUUACGUAAAUAUAAUUAACAAAUUUCAAAUAAAUAAUCUAAAUGGAAACUCUGAUUGUUUUAUGAAAUAUAAUAAAAAAUAUAUAGAUUCUAAUAAAAUAAAUUUUUUGCAUAUUUAUAUAUUGAAUUACUUUUUAGCAAACCAUAGUUGGAAUGCUAUGUAUUUUUUUAUAAUAAAAAAUACUAAUAUAUUUUACCACUUAGAGAAUUGUAACUAUUAUAUAGAACAGGGAUAUAAAAACGGAGGAACCGUGGGUUCUUUUUUUGGAAAUACCAAAAAAAUAACCAAAAGCAGUAGCAAUCGAAAAAGCAAUAAUGACAAUCUGUCAGAUUCAGAAUUGUUAUAUUGCCAUUGUUACAUAUAUUCUCAAGUACCUAACAGUCUAGUACCGUUAGCGUUAUAUAACAGUGCAGUUAUAUUUAAACAAAAACUAACAAAAUGUGUGAAAAGUAAUUCAUAUAAUAUAUUAUGGGAAGGUGGUAUAUAUAAUACUAACCCAAAUCAAGUGAAAGAAAAAAUAAAUAAAAAAAAAAAUGAAAUUUACUCAAACAAACACAAUGAUAUGGUUGAGAAAAUAGAAAAUAUAUGUAACACAUUUUUAAAAAAAGAUACACAUAAUAUAAAAUAUACAUCACUUUAUCUUUUAAGCUUUUUAAAUGUGAAAUUAUUUUUAUGCUUAUUUGUGUUUGUCAAUAUGGAUAUAUUUGACUUUGAAAAAAAUAAGGUGGGUAAUCCAUUGUAUAUAAAUAUAUAUUAUUUUAAAAAGUUAACUAAAUGUUUUAUGCCGUCUAUAUAUGAGGCUUAUUUUUCUUGUAAAAACAAUUUAAAAAAAAAAAUAAAAAAAAAGUUAGAACAAGAAAAAAGGUUAUACAACAAUUAUUUCGAAGUAAGUAUAAAUAAUUUAAAAAAAUAUAAGGAAAAUUAUUUUAAUAUAGCAUCGAAAGGGUAUAAAUUUGAUAAUAGUAAUACUGGAUAUGAUAAAGAAACAACGGAUAGGUUUUCUGCAAACGGAAAGGAAAAAAAAAAUAUAUAUUCUAAACAGCAUUCAAACAUAUAUGAAUAUAAUUAUUGUUUAGAAAAUUUAUGGAUAAUAAAAAAAAUAAAUGAAGAUAAAUAUAAUGAUAAUAUGACAAAUGCAAAUUUUAAUUUGGUACAAAAAAUAGCUGAAGAUGAAAAAUGUGACAAUUACAAAAGUAAAUAUAAAAAAAAAAAGUAUCCAAUAUAAUUGUGAGCUAAAAUUUGAUCAUUGUUUUGAUUCUUUUACAUUUAACAAAGAUCUAUCAUUAAAAUUAUUGUUAGAAAAAACAGCAGAUACAAUUUUUUUUAAAAAAUAUUUUGUUCCAAUUUCAAUUUUUGAGCGAUUGUUUAAUCAGCCGAAUGAACAAAUGGUAUAUGUUAAGAAGAAUAAAUCAAAAUGUCGCAAAAUAUGUAAUAAAGGU
This is a long non-coding RNA of Piliocolobus tephrosceles (Ugandan red Colobus), 1906 nucleotides long. The record is from Ensembl. Lineage: Eukaryota; Metazoa; Chordata; Mammalia; Primates; Cercopithecidae.